UACGGAGGGUGCAAGCGUUGUCCGGAUUUAUUGGGUUUAAAGGGUGCGUAGGCGGCUAUUUAAGUCAGUGGUGAAAGACUCCGGCUCAACCGGGGCAGUGCCAUUGAUACUGGAUAGCUUGAGUAUUGGAGGGGUACAUGGAAUUGAUGGUGUAGCGGUGAAAUGCAUAGAUACCAUCAGGAACACCGAUAGCGAAGGCAUUGUACUGGCCAAUAACUGACGCUGAUGCACGAAAGCAUGGGGAGCGAACAGG
This 253-nucleotide ribosomal RNA is filed under the name uncultured bacterium. RNAcentral describes it as "partial 16S ribosomal RNA". It matches the Rfam family "Bacterial small subunit ribosomal RNA", at positions 524 to 776 of the family's 1533-position model. The record is from RNAcentral.